CCCCAGUGUGUUUGUGUGGAAAUAUUGAACUUUUUCACCACUUAAAAGGGCAGCGGGGUGGCGCAUUGCAAGUUUAAGGUUUAGCCAUUGGUCUCUUUCUUAUGUCUGGUAUUCAAAAAUAGAAGGUCACGGGUUGUUUUAUACGAGUAUCUUUCAUUUAUUUGUCGUGGGCUACGGCCAAACAGUAGCCUGUGUAGAGUUGGGUUAAUACACCCAACCUUUGUCUGGACAAUUGUUCCUGUAUGACCUAGUCAGGUCAUUACAAUAGUAAUAUGCUCUAAAAAUACCGUAGAAAUAUGUUCUAAAACGCUUGUGACAAACACACUUUGCUGUCCUGUUUUCUAAUCGUCCACAUGGAGAACAUAUUCAAAGAGCUGUGAAAUCCUGUCUACUCAAAGGGGUGCACGUUUUUGCACUGCACAGCUGACACAAAUGAUCAACUCCUCAAGCUUCAAGUGUUACUGUUUAGGGCACUGCAAGGUUGGGUGACCAGGGCCAUCUGGGACUGCCUCCUGGAGGAAUUCAGGUUGUGUGAAGGCUACCUGUGUCCUGCAUAACGUCAUGAGGAUGGACACGAGGACCAGGAUGGGGGAUCUGUGUGCGGGAUUUCUUCACCACAUACUUUUUUGAGGAGGGUGCUGUUCCCUGGCAACACCGUAGACUACACUAUGCACAACCAAAGGCUCUUUUAAGAGCCAUUCACAUUGCAAUAAGAGUAUUCUUCCAUUUACUUCGCUAUGUCAACUGCAGUUAUAUCAGUUUGAUCUCCACCUCUUCAUUCAAAGACUCAAUCAUGGACACUCUUACUGACAGUUGUGGCUGCUCUGCAUGAUGUAUUGUUGUCUCUACCUUCUUACCCUUUGUGCUGUUUGUGCCCAAUAAUGUUUGUGCCCUGUGCUCUUG
Molecule: non-coding RNA, 903 nt
Organism: Oncorhynchus mykiss (rainbow trout)
Lineage: Eukaryota; Metazoa; Chordata; Actinopteri; Salmoniformes; Salmonidae
Source: RefSeq, a predicted model, not a curated record